CUCAAAUUUAAAAUCCUGCCAUAAUGUCUACUAACCAGCCCACUAUAUCUCAAAAUCCUGCCAUAAUGUCUACUAUCCUGCCCACUAUAUCUCAAACUCCUGCCAUAAUGUCUACUAACCAGCCCACUAUAUCUCAAAAUCCUGCCAUAAUGUCUACUAACCAGCCCACUAUAUCUCAAAAUCCUGCCAUAAUGUCGAUCCUGCCCACUAUAUCUCAAACUCAAAAUCCUGACAUAAUGUCUACUAACCAGCCCACUAUAUCUCAAACUCAAAAUCCUGACAUAAUGUCUACUAACCGGCCCACUAUAUCUCAAACUUAAAAUCCUGCCAUAAUGUCU
This is a non-coding RNA of Pelobates cultripes (western spadefoot toad), 338 nucleotides long. The record is from the annotation of a GenBank genome assembly. NCBI's taxonomy places the organism in Eukaryota, Metazoa, Chordata, Amphibia, Anura, Pelobatidae.